AGUGAACGCUGGCGGCGUGCUUAACACAUGCAAGUCGAACGAGAACGGAUUAUAGCUUGCUAUAGUUGUCAGCUAAGUGGCGCACGGGUGAGUAAUGUAUAGGUAAUAUGCCUCUUACUAAGGGAUAACAAAUGGAAACGUUUGCUAAUACCUUAUACUCCUUAUUAACAUAAGUUAAUAAGGGAAAGAUUUAUUGGUAAGAGAUUAGCCUGUAUUGUAUCAGUUAGUUGGUGGGGUAAUGGCUUACCAAGGCGACGAUCGGUAGGGGGUGUGAGAGCAUGACCCCCCACACGGGUACUGAGACACGGACCCGACUCCUACGGGAGGCAGCAGUGAGGAAUAUUGGACAAUGGGCGCAAGCCUGAUCCAGCCAUGCCGCGUGCAGGAUGACGGUCCUAUGGAUUGUAAACUGCUUUUGUACAGGAAGAAACNCUCCCUCGUGAGGGAGCUUGACGGUACUGUAAGAAUAGGAUCGGCUAACUCCGUGCCAGCAGCCG
This 497-nucleotide ribosomal RNA is filed under the name uncultured bacterium. RNAcentral describes it as "bacterial SSU rRNA". It matches the Rfam family "Bacterial small subunit ribosomal RNA", at positions 29 to 517 of the family's 1533-position model. The record is from RNAcentral.